UUCAUAACCCUUGUUAAUACAAUAUUUGUAUUCAUCCCGACUAUUCACUAUUCGGUUGUCUAAAACCUGUACUGACAAAGAUCUAUUUUCAAUGCAAAAAAAGUCCACAAAUUUUAUUGUAAACUACCCAAGUUAUCCAAGUCUAUUACAUAGAAAAACUUGUCUACAAGAGUAGUAGACUACAUAAAUGAAUACAACGAUAUAUUUAAUUUAAUUAUAGAUAUAUUACGAAAUUUAAACUCAAAGUGAACAAAUAAAUAAAUACAAAUAACAAUAAAAACAUCUUAUCGUUAGCUGAAGCGAUUUUGAGAAGAUUUAGAAAUUAUUUAACACAAUCACAAGUAUUUAUAUUAUGGUGGUGGUAAAUCUGGACAUAUUCCCUGUAUGCAACAUAAAUUAAGUUUUGGUUUGUCAUAACACAUUUUAGAUUUAUUACACCACCAAGAACCGUCCGAAAUAACUUCUCCAUCAAUACAUUUAUCUCUACAUGUCGAACAUACACUAUCAUUUCCCAAACAUAAUGUUAAAUUGGGCGGACAAGGNCGUUUACGUUUUUUAAUUGAAUUAUGGCCAGUAAUGUGACACAUAGAGAAAUGAUAAAACAUUUGAAGUCCAUUAUAAAAUGUGAAAUUCAAAAAACGAUGUUACCGAAUCAAUUGGCUAUUGUAGUCGGUAGUAGAUGAAUCAAGGUGAUACGAAGGUGAAUGUUUUUUGGCUGUAUAAUUCUUUCGGAUGUUGCAGGUGAAAUUUCGUAGACGAAUGAUGAUAACCGUCACGCGUAAAUAUUAUGACAAUACUGCACUGUGUGUUGCUGGAUUAAUGAUAAUUUUGUUACCCCGAUUUCGAUUUAUAUUCAAAACACAAAACCAUUAAUGACGCAAAAUAAACAAGUAUUUUCCGUUUAACGAAGAGUAAACAUGAUACAAAAGUUCGUUUUCAC
Molecule: non-coding RNA, 940 nt
Organism: Cinara cedri
Lineage: Eukaryota; Metazoa; Arthropoda; Insecta; Hemiptera; Aphididae
Source: the annotation of a GenBank genome assembly